GCUGUAGAUCAGUGGCAGAACACCUGUUUUAGUAUGCAGAAGGUUUUAGGUUCAAUCCCUGGCAUCUCCA
Molecule: non-coding RNA, 70 nt
Organism: Podarcis lilfordi (Lilford's wall lizard)
Lineage: Eukaryota; Metazoa; Chordata; Lepidosauria; Squamata; Lacertidae
Source: the annotation of a GenBank genome assembly